AUGGGCAAGAAAGACUGUGCCGGCGAUCUCAUCAGAGUCUACAAGGGUGAAAGACCGAGCGGGGUUCAGCCGGCACCGCGUCGUGGGCAAAUAAAGCUGAGGAUAGCGCACAUCGUCGCUUCGGCGCUCCUCGGGACUACGUCGCAGCUUCCUGUUCUGGAUCACAAGUGA
This 171-nucleotide ribosomal RNA is filed under the name Triticum aestivum (bread wheat). Its description in RNAcentral is "partial small subunit ribosomal RNA". The record is from RNAcentral. Lineage: Eukaryota; Viridiplantae; Streptophyta; Magnoliopsida; Poales; Poaceae.